AGAAUAUAGUACUAUAUUGAAAAUAUGGUAAAAUGGGUCUGGAGAAGAAACUGAGCACCCAGGAAUGGUAGGGAGAAGAGACAGUGUGUGUGUGACAUGAAGUUUGUAUAUGUUGUAGUCAGAUCAGUGGGAUUGUGAUUCAGGCAUAUAGUCCAUGUCGUCAGGGACACCUGAAUACACAUCACUUAGGAAAUCUUAGCUGUAAGUAUCAAAAACCUCACUCAAUAGGUUUAAAUAAUGAUACUUAUGAGAAGUCAGGGUUGUCUAAUUCAGUAGUUCAGCAAUGCUAUCAAAGACCGGUUCUUUCUUUCUGCUCUGUCCUCAGGCUUCCCCUCGUAGUCAAAAUGUGGCUGCAGAAGUUCCAGACAGUAUAACAACCAGCAGAGACAGAGCCAGGAAAGCAUUUGCAGGAGCUCCCCCAGCAAGUCUCCUCUCAUAUCUCAUAAUGGGACAUCCCAACUUGUUCACUGGCAAGGGGCCUGCUUUUGUUUUGAAUGGAUGAGUCUUCUGAUCUGGGGAUAAGCUUACUACCCUGAGUGGUGAACAACAUUGGAGUCCUGCUAGAUGGGAGGAAGGGAUCAAUGGAUAUUGCUCAUCAGGCAGAGUGUCUACCUCAAAGCUGGAUGCAGACCACAGGCUGAAAGUUGAGUGCCAAAGUCUUUUCUAGCUGGAGACUCCAUAGUGAAUUUCUCAAAGUCAAAGCAAAGAACCUUUUCCUCUGUUCUACCAGCAGGUUGUGCUUUGACCACAGCUGCCCUUUGGGAGGCUGGCACAGAGCCACAGCUAGAUCUUCAGGCUGCUUGUCAAGGGUGGGGCAGCAGGACAUGCCACUCUUCCUCCAUGAGCCCAUCCAGGGCCUCCACUGGGCACUUGGCACUGCCACGUCUUCCUAAGGAGAGAGCUGGGGAAGGAACCCGAGGGAGCCAGACUCCAGAGCCCUGGGACCCAGACAGAGCUCCAGGAAGGUUCAGGCAAGUAUUCUGUCUCUUCUCCCCUCAGAUGUGUAGAUGGACAUGAGGUGAGAUUGUGGUGAGACUCCGAGGUUGCUAGAUGUGGGGUUUGCUGGGAGUAGCCACCUGCAAGAAGACUGAGCCAGACAAACAAAUGUUCUGAAAGAGGAUGAGGAAAAUAAUAUCUCUUCUAGGGGUCUCUGAUUUUUCUGUAGUGUUUCCUUCCUUUCAAAACCCUGUCAACCCUCCAAAGUGGACCCCAACACCACCCGGAUCUCCUGUGUUUUGUUGUCAGAUUCACUGAGAGCUGCAGAGUAGGCUCAUGUCCCUCCAGGGUCUGCCUUUUUAACCAGGAAGAGAGAGCUGUUGAGAAAUUGAUGGGGAGACUCAGACCAAGGGCACCAGAUAAUGAAUGUGAAUGAGAGUGGGUGCCUGCAAUGUGCAGGAGGCUUAGAUUCCAUGCCAGGAGCAGUGGUGACAGCUUCUAGAAAUUGUCCAACAGCCUGGCAUUCUAAAGAAUGUCCUGCAGAACUGGGAAACCUGUUCUUCCACACACACAUUUCAGGAGCAGUUAAAAUGAGAUGCAAUUGAAGGUUGAACCCGGCUGGAGCCCAGUGGGAUGUAGUUCAGAGUGACACCUGUGGCAUUCACUGGCAGGGCUGGGAAGGGGGGUGUAAGAUGAUGCUUAUUUGUCUAUUAUGAUAAGUGUUGUUACAUUUUAUGUGUCUUUCUUGAAUCUUCAAGAAGACUUUCAAUUCCUUUAGGGCAGCAAUAGAAUAUUUUAUGUAUCUUAUAUUCUUUAUAAGGUCAGCAUUAAAUUACUGUUUAUUGGGUGAUUUUUGGAUAUAUUUCUAUAAAAUGAAACUUGAUCAUUCAAGGUCCUAGAAACUUGAUCAUCAAGGUCCUUGAUCAUUCAUUCAUUUGGGCAGAGUUGUCAUCAAUAUCUGUUAAGC
This 1903-nucleotide long non-coding RNA is filed under the name Marmota monax (woodchuck). The record is from RNAcentral. Lineage: Eukaryota; Metazoa; Chordata; Mammalia; Rodentia; Sciuridae.